This 253-nucleotide ribosomal RNA is filed under the name uncultured bacterium. Its description in RNAcentral is "partial 16S ribosomal RNA". It matches the Rfam family "Bacterial small subunit ribosomal RNA", at positions 524 to 776 of the family's 1533-position model. The record is from RNAcentral.
UACGAAGGGGGCUAGCGUUGUUCGGAAUCAUUGGGCGUAAAGGGUGCGUAGGCGGCGCGGUAAGUCGGGUGUGAAAUCUCGGAGCUUAACUCCGAAACUGCAUUCGAUACUGCCGUGCUUGAGGACUGGAGAGGAGACUGGAAUUUACGGUGUAGCGGUGAAAUGCGUAGAUAUCGUAAGGAAGACCAGUGGCGAAGGCGGGUCUCUGGACAGUUCCUGACACUGAGGCACGAAGGCCAGGGGAGCAAACGGG